UAUAGAAUUUUAUACUAAUUUAUUUUAAUACUUAAUAUAAAAUUUAAAUUAGUAUUUGAUUGGGAGGAUUAUUAAAUUUAUAAAACUUUUUAAAUUAUGUAAACUUUAAUUUAAGAAAUUAUAAUGAUCUUUAAUUUAAAAUAUUUAGAAUAAAUUACCUUAGGGAUAACAGCGUAAUACUUUUUUAUAGACCACAUAGAAAAAAGUGAUUGCGACCUCGAUGUUGAAUUAAGAUAAAUUUUAAACGCAGGAGUUUAAUAAUUAAGUCUGU
RNAcentral lists this ribosomal RNA (271 nucleotides) under Homotrigona fimbriata. RNAcentral describes it as "partial large subunit ribosomal RNA". Lineage: Eukaryota; Metazoa; Arthropoda; Insecta; Hymenoptera; Apidae. The record is from RNAcentral.